This 157-nucleotide ribosomal RNA is filed under the name uncultured fungus. RNAcentral's name for it is "partial 28S ribosomal RNA". It matches the Rfam family "Eukaryotic large subunit ribosomal RNA", at positions 1 to 153 of the family's 3401-position model. Lineage: Eukaryota; Fungi. The record is from RNAcentral.
UUGAUCUCAAAUCAGGUAGGACUACCCGCUGAACUUAAGCAUAUCAAUAAGCGGAGGAAAAGAAACUAACAAGGAUUCCCCUAGUAACUGCGAGUGAAGCGGGAAGAGCUCAAAUUUAAAAUCUGGCGUGCCUAUGGUCGUCCGAGUUGUAGUCUGG